GUAGUUAUGCAUCUCCCUAAAGAAGCUAUACUAGGUGGACCAGUGCAGUACAGGUGGAUGUAUCCCAUUGAGCGCUCAAUGUCUGUGUACAAGCAAUAUGUCAGGAAUCGUGCCCGUCCGGAAGGCUCUAUUGCUGAAUCUUUUGUGGUUAAUGAGGCAUUAACCUUUUGCUCAAUGUACUUUCGGGAAGUGGAAACUCGAUUCAACCGUCCUGACCGGAACAAUGACAUUGUCCAAAACAUGCCAACUCGACAAUUUUCUGUAUUCAAGCAUGUUGGCCGACCCCUCGGUAUGAGGACAGUCGACACCUUACCCAUGCAAAGCAAGCGUAAGGCGGAGUGGUACAUUUUGAACAAUUGCACAGAGGUUGAACCGUAUAUCAAGUAAGUAUAAAUUCCAUAAACACAAACACACAAUAGUCGACUUCAUCUAAAAAAUUCUUAACUUACUAAUAAGUGGAUUACAUUAUAUAGUGAGCACAAGGAGUUGCUUCAAGCAAGGGGUGUAGGCAAUAUUGAGACAGUGCAAGAGACUGAGUUCCCUGAAUGGUUCAAAACUCAAGUAAGCCUUGUUGCCUCUCAAUACUGUUAAUCUUGUUCUCAAUAACUGUUCAACUUUUCUUAAUUUAAUAUUUUCCCUGAUAUGUAGAUUAAUGAACUACGGUUGAGCAACCAGGGUGCAGUGUCAGAUGAGUUGUAUGCUAUCGCUAACCCAGCGAAUACAGCAAUUUAUUUUUAUCCAGGGUGCAUAGUGAACGGUAUUAAAUUUUUGGUCAAGGAGAGGGAUGAUAACCGCAAAACACAGAAUAGCGGUGUCAUGGUCCCCGGUGAAGAUGGCCAAAAUUUUUACGGCACACUUGAAAAAAUUAUGGAGUUCACUUAUUUGAAAGAUUGCAGUGUUCUCUUAUUUUUUUGUAAGUGGUUUGACACUAAUGGGAGUAGAAUGGAUAGUGACGGUGUUAUUACUAGCAUCUGCGUCAACCGACAGUGGUACCAAAAUGAACCGUUCAUACUUGCAUCUCAAGCAAAAUUGAUCUACUACAUUCCUGAUUUAAAGAACGGUAAAGACUGGCUGAUUGUAAAUGAGUACAUACCGCGCAAUGUUUGGGACUUCCCGGACACGGAUGGGGAGACACCCUUUGUACAGGAAAACAAUUCAGCUGAAACCAAGUUCGUUGUUCAACUUCCACAGUUGGAUGAUGUUGACUAUGUUCGCCAUGAUGUCGACCCAACUGAAGUUGCAAACAUCCAUCGUGUGAAUUCACAGCCUCAACAAUUAGAUGAUUUCAUUGUCGAUGAUGACAACGAGGGUCUAAAUACCGAAGAAGACAACUCCUUAGAAUUAGAGAGUGACAGUGAUGAUAAUGCUGUAUAUGUAACUGAUGAUGAGGAUGAUGAAUUGUAAUUGACAUAGUGUUUUAAAUAAAAUAAAAAUUACAACCCUUCUUCUUUAAUAUGUUUGCAAUAUGUUAGUUUAUUUUAAAUAAACAAUAUGUGUUGUAUAUGUAGUAUGUCUACACCAGGUGGCAGCAGUUCGAAAAAGAAAGGCGUCAGAGGUAAAUACAAGGGCAAGAAUGUUGAGGAGGAGCUCUCCAAAACACAAUCUGCCAAGUUACCGAUUGAGGUGCACGCAGAGACUGGCACCCCCGUAGGCAAGAACGGAAAAAAAUUCAACAAUAUUGCCAAAUGGAUGACUCGGAUGUCUAUCCCCAUUAAUAAAUUCAAAUGGGAAGAUGUCAGUAGAGCUGACAUCAACGCACUGUGGGAUAGACUUGAGACCAAGUUUAUCCUCCCACGAGAUAACCCUACAUUCGUAGACUACGGUGAGUACGAGAUGUCAAAGGGUUUACGUGACUGGAGGGCAGACUGCAAGAAGAAGUGGAUACAAAACAUUGAGGAGCUUGGACAGGAGAGGGCCGACAUGUCACCUCCUGAGGGAGUAACUCAAGAGGUGUGGAGUGACUGCAUCGCUUAUUGGAGCACAGACAAACAAAAGGUACAUUUUUUAAAAUUUUAAAUUUUGGUAAUGUUUAAUUUAUAUAGUCAAUAAUAAAUAAUUAAUUGUUAGAAAAAUUAUUAAUUUCAGGCGAGAGCAGCGAAAAAUAAAGAAAGUCGGG
RNA transcript from Cannabis sativa, 2116 nucleotides. RefSeq lists it as uncharacterized. NCBI's taxonomy places the organism in Eukaryota, Viridiplantae, Streptophyta, Magnoliopsida, Rosales, Cannabaceae. The transcript has 2 exons. The record is from RefSeq and is a predicted model, not a curated record.